This 253-nucleotide unclassified non-coding RNA is filed under the name uncultured Micrococcaceae bacterium. Its description in RNAcentral is "contains 16S-23S intergenic spacer region". It matches the Rfam family "Bacterial small subunit ribosomal RNA", at positions 524 to 776 of the family's 1533-position model. Lineage: Bacteria; Bacillati; Actinomycetota; Actinomycetes; Micrococcales; Micrococcaceae. The record is from RNAcentral.
UACGUAGGGCGCAAGCGUUGUCCGGAAUUAUUGGGCGUAAAGAGCUCGUAGGCGGUUUGUCGCGUCUGCUGUGAAAGCCCGGGGCUCAACCCCGGGUCUGCAGGCGAUACGGGCAGACUUGAGUACUACAGGGGAGACUGGAAUUCCUGGUGUAGCGGUGAAAUGCGCAGAUAUCAGGAGGAACACCGAUGGCGAAGGCAGGUCUCUGGGCUGUUACUGACGCUGAGAAGCGAAAGCAUGGGGAGCGAACAGG